This 462-nucleotide ribosomal RNA is filed under the name uncultured bacterium. Its description in RNAcentral is "partial 16S ribosomal RNA". It matches the Rfam family "Bacterial small subunit ribosomal RNA", at positions 28 to 505 of the family's 1533-position model. The record is from RNAcentral.
GAUGAACGCUGGCGGCGUGCUUAACACAUGCAAGUCGAACGGAAAGGCCCAAGCUUGCUUGGGUACUCGAGUGGCGAACGGGUGAGUAACACGUGGGUGAUCUGCCCUGCACUUCGGGAUAAGCCUGGGAAACUGGGUCUAAUACCGGAUAGGACCACAUUUUGGAUGGUGUGGUGGAAAGUUUUUCGGUGUGGGAUGAGCUCGCGGCCUAUCAGCUUGUUGGUGGGGUAAUGGCCUACCAAGGCGUCGACGGGUAGCCGGCCUGAGAGGGUGUACGGCCACAUUGGGACUGAGAUACGGCCCAGACUCCUACGGGAGGCAGCAGUGGGAAUAUUGCACAAUGGGCGCAAGCCUGAUGCAGCGACGCCGCGUGGGGGAUGACGGCCUUCGGGUUGUAAACUCCUUUCGCUAGGGACGAAGCGCAAGUGACGGUACCUGGAGAAGAAGCACCGGCUAACUACG